UCUUGCGUUGGAUGAAAACGCUUUGCAGUAUUAGUUCCGGUUCAUUAUUCCCUUAGUUCAAAUUCUAACGAAGUCACCUUCGUCUUUCAUCGUUUCGUAGUAGAUAUUAGGUCAUUAAGAAUGAAAUGUCCGAUUUUGAACUGAAAGUUUUUUUUUACUUUAUCUCAAUCGAAGUAGGCACCUAAAUUAUCAACACAAUUUUGCCAUUUGAUCGGUGGCUUAUUUAGACUGGCAGCGAAGAAUUCUGGAGAGCAAGAAUUGAUUAAAUUACGAAAGGUUGUUUUUGCCACUUCUUCAGAUAUGAAGUUUUUUUUCCUUGCAUAAAGUUAUCUAAUGCCUGGAAAACAUGAUAGUCAAUUGGUGCAAGGUCUGCUUAAUAUGGUGGAUGACAGACUACUUCCAAAUUGAGUACCGUUCUUUGUGCUACGUGUGGUGGAGCAUUGUCUUACAAGAGGAUUGGCCUGUCUCUAUAGACCAAUUUGGAUUGUUUGAUUGCAAAUUCACUCAUCAUUUCAUCCAGUUGGUUGUUGUAUACAUCCGCUGUAAUUGACUCACCAGUUCUCAUGAAGUUGUAGUGAAUGAUACCAGCGCUGGACCACCAAACAGACACCAUUAGCUUUUUGGGAUUCCACUAAUAUUGCUGUUAUUGUUACUGCUGUUGUUCUUGAUGAAUGAUGACCAUGAUCAUGAUGAGAAGGAUGAGUAAGGGGAGGAGAAUGAGGCAUUUGAUUACGGCCAUCCUGGAAUACCGCCUUUAGUCGAGCAAAUCGACCCCGAGACUUAUUUAUUGUGAGCCUAGUACUUAUUAUAUCGGUCUCUUUUACCGAACCGCUAUAUUACGGGAACAUAAACACACCAACAUCGGUUGUCAAGCGAUGAUGGCGCGGACAAAUGCAAACACACAAACGCAUAUAUCUAUAAAUACGACGGGCUUCUUUCUGUUUCCAUCUACCGAAUCCACUUACAAGGUUUUGGUCGGCUCGAGGCUAUAGAAGAUAAUGCUCAUGGUGCCACACUGUGGGACUGAACCCGGAACCAUAUGGUUGAGAAGCAAGCUUCUUACCACACCUGCGCCUCACUAUAAAAAUUUUCGCCGCACCAACUGCACCAUCUCCCGUCGCUCCUACCUCGCCAUUUACAUGUUUCUACUCUCGUUAGGGCAAUGAAAAUAACAAAUUCUUAAGUGAAGUUAACAGUCUCUAUAGUUAUCUUUCACGCCAUAAAAUCUGAAAUGUUGGAUUUUGCAAAAAUGUUAGUGAAACACUAUUAUCAGCCAAGAAUAAAAAUAUCUAAGCUACCACGACUUAUCAGGGCCUGUCUUUAUUUGAGUAUAUUCUUUAAAUAAUCUAAUUAAUUUCGUAUGAAUUUUAACCAAACACGCUCUACAAUUUACAAUUGACUGUCACCGUUUUAAAACCCUUCCUCAUCUAGAAAUAGCGGCAUUUAUGAAGAUGUGCAAAAGAAAAACAAAUCACACAGCUAAAUGAUAUACUUACCAAUUCUGUUUUUAUCCA
Octopus bimaculoides (California two-spot octopus) is the source of this 1514-nucleotide long non-coding RNA. Lineage: Eukaryota; Metazoa; Mollusca; Cephalopoda; Octopoda; Octopodidae. The record is from RefSeq and is a predicted model, not a curated record.